This 179-nucleotide non-coding RNA is filed under the name Roseisalinus antarcticus. Its description in RNAcentral is "Ruegeria cis52 sRNA". It matches the Rfam family "Ruegeria cis52 sRNA". Rfam says of the family: Cis-encoded. Targets oligo/dipeptide ABC transporter. The record is from Rfam by way of RNAcentral. Lineage: Bacteria; Pseudomonadati; Pseudomonadota; Alphaproteobacteria; Rhodobacterales; Roseobacteraceae.
UGCGCAGCGCAUGGCGCAGCACGAUGUUGCGGAACGCCACCCCCUUGAGCCGGGCGGUGCGGAUAUAUUGCGCCGUCAUCACCUCGGUCAUCGAGGCGCGGGUCAUCCGGGCGAUAUAGCCCAUGCCGUAGAGUGCGAUGGUCAUCACCGGCAGGGUGAAGUUGCGGAAGGUGGCGUCC